UUGCUUUGUCAGCACAUGUAUUAAAAUUGGAAUGAUAGAGAGAAGUUUAGCAUGGUCCCUGUGCAAUGGUGACAAACACAUUCAUGAAGUAUUCUAUAUUUUU
Molecule: small nuclear RNA, 103 nt
Filed under: Salvator merianae (Argentine black and white tegu)
Lineage: Eukaryota; Metazoa; Chordata; Lepidosauria; Squamata; Teiidae
Source: RNAcentral